UAGCAUUUGCUGCGACUCUCCGGCAGCUGAAUGAACUUUCGGUUCAGAGAGAAGAACUUGCUGAAAACCUGAACUCACAGAUCGUAUGUGAGCUGACACGAUACACACAGGAACUGAAGACUGAGAGGAAGACUCAUUUUCAAGAUGGCCGCCGUGCCCAACAGCACAUUGAGGGCUCCUGGAAACAACUGGAGUCUAGUAAACGUCGGUUUGAGCGUGACUGUAAGGAGGCGGAGCGAGCUCAACACGUCUCUGACAGAAUUGACCUUGACAACAAAACGGAUGGA
This is a long non-coding RNA of Morone saxatilis (striped sea-bass), 287 nucleotides long. RefSeq lists it as uncharacterized. The record is from RefSeq and is a predicted model, not a curated record. Lineage: Eukaryota; Metazoa; Chordata; Actinopteri; Moronidae. The transcript is spliced from 3 exons.